GGGAAGGUGGCUCAAUGGUAGAGCGCUUACCUUGCAUGCAUGAGGCCCUGGGUUCAAUUCCUCACCACCACA
RNAcentral lists this transfer RNA (72 nucleotides) under Dipodomys ordii (Ord's kangaroo rat). It matches the Rfam family "tRNA". Rfam says of the family: Transfer RNA (tRNA) molecules are approximately 80 nucleotides in length. Their secondary structure includes four short double-helical elements and three loops (D, anti-codon, and T loops). The record is from Rfam by way of RNAcentral. Lineage: Eukaryota; Metazoa; Chordata; Mammalia; Rodentia; Heteromyidae.